UCGCAAGACCAAAGAGGGGGACCUUCGGGCCUCUUGCCAUCGGAUGUGCCCAGAUGGGAUUAGCUAGUAGGUGGGGUAACGGCUCACCUAGGCGACGAUCCCUAGCUGGUCUGAGAGGAUGACCAGCCACACUGGAACUGAGACACGGUCCAGACUCCUACGGGAGGCAGCAGUGGGGAAUAUUGCACAAUGGGCGCAAGCCUGAUGCAGCCAUGC
This 216-nucleotide ribosomal RNA is filed under the name Escherichia coli. RNAcentral's name for it is "partial 16S ribosomal RNA". It matches the Rfam family "Bacterial small subunit ribosomal RNA", at positions 193 to 397 of the family's 1533-position model. Lineage: Bacteria; Pseudomonadati; Pseudomonadota; Gammaproteobacteria; Enterobacterales; Enterobacteriaceae. The record is from RNAcentral.